Molecule: long non-coding RNA, 502 nt
Filed under: Homo sapiens (human)
Lineage: Eukaryota; Metazoa; Chordata; Mammalia; Primates; Hominidae
Description: non-protein coding lnc-EFCAB2-2:1
Source: RNAcentral
CUUUAAGGUUUUAUUUUCAAUAAAUAAAGAACAGAGACUUAGCCUGGCAAUAAGUGUGCCUGAAAAAUGCUGGUUGGGAUAGGAAGUGUUUAAGUAAUGAAUUAAAUCGUGACUUGCUGUGUCAAGGUCUAUAUUAAAGAGAAACAUAAAGGAACAUGUGCUUUUGAGAGAAACAGGGCCAGCGUGUGAUUUUUCCAAAUGCUUUAAGAGCUGUGGUUUCAUGUAAGUGUUACUCGCAAGCUGCCCACAAAUGCUGCCACCCGGGCUUCCUGUGCCGGGUCUCCCUGGAAAGCCUGAACGAGCUUUGGCACUGAAAAUGAUCUUGUCCAGGGCCAAGAAUUUAACACAAUUAAAUUUCUCCCUCUUGACUGAGAGGCCUGAAACCUAAAGCUGCAGAAAGGCGGGAAGGAAAGAGAAGUAUGAAGGCGAGAGCCCACUACUAGCUCAUGGUAGAGGAGUAAAUUUCGCCUCCACUCCUGCCUUCCAAGAGCCAGCAUCCGGC